GACGAACGCUGGCGGCGUGCUUAACACAUGCAAGUCGAACGAUGAAGCCUUCGGGUGGAUUAGUGGCGAACGGGUGAGUAACACGUGGGCAAUCUGCCCUGUACUUUGGGAUAAGCCUUGGAAACGGGGUCUAAUACCGGAUAUCACUUCUGACCGCAUGGUUGGUUGUUGAAAGUUCUGGCGGUACAGGAUGAGCCCGCGGCCUAUCAGCUUGUUGGUGGGGUAAUGGCCUACCAAGGCGACGACGGGUAGCCGGCCUGAGAGGGUGACCGGCCACACUGGGACUGAGACACGGCCCAGACUCCUACGGGAGGCAGCAGUGGGGAAUAUUGCACAAUGGGCGAAAGCCUGAUGCAGCGACGCCGCGUGAGGGAUGACGGCCU
Molecule: ribosomal RNA, 383 nt
Filed under: uncultured bacterium
Lineage: Bacteria
Description: bacterial SSU rRNA
Rfam family: Bacterial small subunit ribosomal RNA
Source: RNAcentral